CCUCUUCUCGUGCAGAUGCCGCCCGGCUCUGGUCAGCCUCCGGCCGUCAGUGCUUUGAGACCGAACACCAUGCCUUCAAUUAAGUUGCAGAGUUCUGAUGAAGAUAUAUUUAAAGUUGAUGUGGAAAUUGCCAAACAGUCUGUGACUAUCAAGACCAUGUUGUAAGAUUUGGGAAUGGAUGAUGAAGGAGAUGAUGACCCAGUUCCUCUACCAAAUGUUAAUGCAGCAAUAUUAAAAAGUCAUUCAGUGGUGCACCCACCACAAGGAUGAUCCUCCUCCUCCUCAGGAUGAUGAGAACAAAGAAAAGCGAACAGAUGAUAUCCCUGUUUGGGACCAAGAAUUUCUGAAAGUUGACCAAGGAACACUUUUUGAACUUAUUCUGGCUGCAAACUACUUAGACAUCAAAGGUUUGCUUGAUGUUAUGUGCAAGACUGUUGCUAAUAUGAUCAAGGGGAAAACUCCUGAGGAGAUUCAUAAGACCUUCAAUAUCAAAAAUGACUUUAUUUCUUAGGUUGAAUCAAUAGCAAAAAAAAAAAAAAUGACUUUAUUGAAGAGGAGGAAGCCCAGGUACCCAAAGAGAACCAGUGGUGUAAAGAGAAGUGAAAUGUUGUGCCUGACACUGUAACACUGUAAGGAUUGUUUCAAAUACUAGUUGCACUGCUCUGUUUAUAAUUGUUAAUAUUAGACAAACAGUAGACAAAUGCAGCAGCAAAUCCAUUGUAUUAGCCAGAAUAUUGUCCUCAUCGCAUGUGUAGUUUGAGUACAGAUUCCAAACCUAUGGUUGACUUUCUUCUAGUAUGAUCGAAAGUUUCUUUUUGCUCUGAAUAAAACUGAACUGUGGGUUCUCUAUAUAGAAAGUGGCAUUUUGGGCUUUCCCUCUUUUUUUGUAAAGUGAUUUCUGCCUAGUUUAUUGUCCAGUUAACUUUAGUGACCUUUUAAAAGUUGGCAUUGUACAUAAAAUAACUUGCAAA
Microcebus murinus (gray mouse lemur) is the source of this 971-nucleotide non-coding RNA. The record is from RefSeq and is a predicted model, not a curated record. Lineage: Eukaryota; Metazoa; Chordata; Mammalia; Primates; Cheirogaleidae.